CAGCCGCCGCGGUAACACGUAGGGUGCAAGCGUUAAUCGGAAUUACUGGGCGUAAAGCGUGCGCAGGCGGUUAUAUAAGUCAGAUGUGAAAUCCCCGGGCUCAACCUGGGAACUGCAUUUGAGACUGUAUGGCUAGAGUGUGUCAGAGGAGGGUAGAAUUCCACGUGUAGCAGUGAAAUGCGUAGAGAUGUGGAGGAAUACCGAUGGCGAAGGCAGCCCCCUGGGCCAAUACUGACGCUCAUGCACGAAAGCGUGGGGAGCAAACAGGAUUAGAUACCCCGGUAGUCCCUGUCUCUUAUAA
This 301-nucleotide ribosomal RNA is filed under the name uncultured bacterium. Its description in RNAcentral is "partial 16S ribosomal RNA". It matches the Rfam family "Bacterial small subunit ribosomal RNA", at positions 509 to 809 of the family's 1533-position model. The record is from RNAcentral.